Long non-coding RNA from Spinacia oleracea (spinach), 1027 nucleotides. RefSeq lists it as uncharacterized. The transcript has 3 exons. The record is from RefSeq and is a predicted model, not a curated record. NCBI's taxonomy places the organism in Eukaryota, Viridiplantae, Streptophyta, Magnoliopsida, Caryophyllales, Amaranthaceae.
GGAACCCCUACAGAAAGAACUCAACAAAGUUAGCGGUGUUAGGAAAUAAACAUAACUUAAUUAAACCGGUGAAGGCUCGUGUCGGAGUUUGGGGUCCAAAGUCUAAGUUGGGUCAUGCCCGAAGUCAGGCAAACUAACCAAAGUGGGGUGCGGACACUUGUUCGUGGGAGGCAUUUGAAGCGUAAUGAUAUAGCAUUGCUGCAUCACUUGGAUGAUUAUAUGCAUGCCUCAAUUAAAGCAAAUUUUGUCCAACACUUUCGUCCAAAAUUAAUUGAGGGGAAAAUCUACACAAACAGAUAUUUUUCGGUCCAACCUAAUAAGGAACAAUAUCGUAUUGUCGGCGACAACUAAAUAAUGAUACAAUUUUUUCAAAAUGCCGUUGGAAAUAUAGAUAAUACCAAUGCAUCGAUUUGAUUGUGUACAGUUACAACACUUGGAUCAGUUUGUUAAAAACUAUUCACUCCCUGAUAUGUAUAAUUCUGUUAUUUAUUCUGUAGUAAAGUUUAUUUGAGUUAUUGCGUAACAAUUUUUCUAAAUACUUUGUCUUUUUUUUCCUUGGUUGUUUUUUCUCUUUUUAGAUGUCGUUGGUAUGGUUGUGAAUGAAGUUGAAGAUUCUAUCGAAAUAGAAGACCAGUGGAAAAAUUAAUCUAACCACUUCACCGUCAACCAAGAUAUAUAUAAAUCUUGAUGUUCCGGAGGUUCGUAAAUUGAAAGACAUAUGGAGGUAUAGUUCAUAUAUAUGGUACACUAAAUAAGCUAAUUAAUUAUUCUUGCAAUUGACGUGGGUUUGAUUGACUUUGUUUCCAUUUUUGUGGGUGUUCGCAUUUCCCAUCUUAGAGCCGAGCUAGCGAAAGUGUUUCAUUGUAAUGUGGCGGAAUUAGACCUAGAGGAAAAGAUAAAUACAAAACCGUUACUAAAAAGAAAAAAUAAAACGAAACCCGUGCAUCGCACGGGCUUCAAAACUAGUUUUUAAAUACGAGUAACACAUUUUGAAUGGAGCAUCAAUGCAUCAUUUACCAAUAUGGGA